This 413-nucleotide ribosomal RNA is filed under the name uncultured bacterium. Its description in RNAcentral is "bacterial SSU rRNA". It matches the Rfam family "Bacterial small subunit ribosomal RNA", at positions 354 to 777 of the family's 1533-position model. The record is from RNAcentral.
GUGGGGAAUAUUGCACAAUGGGCGGAAGCCUGAUGCAGCGACGCCGCGUGGGGGAUGACGGCCUUCGGGUUGUAAACUCCUUUCGACAGGGACGAAGCUUUUUGUGACGGUACCUGUAUAAGAAGCACCGGCUAACUACGUGCCAGCAGCCGCGGUAAUACGUAGGGUGCGAGCGUUGUCCGGAAUUACUGGGCGUAAAGAGCUCGUAGGUGGUUUGUCGCGUCGUCUGUGAAAUUCCGGGGCUUAACUUCGGGCGUGCAGGCGAUACGGGCAUAACUUGAGUGCUGUAGGGGAGACUGGAAUUCCUGGUGUAGCGGUGAAAUGCGCAGAUAUCAGGAGGAACACCGAUGGCGAAGGCAGGUCUCUGGGCAGUUACUGACGCUGAGGAGCGAAAGCAUGGGUAGCAAACAGGA